This 74-nucleotide transfer RNA is filed under the name Massilibacterium sp. RNAcentral describes it as "tRNA-Gly". It matches the Rfam family "tRNA". Rfam says of the family: Transfer RNA (tRNA) molecules are approximately 80 nucleotides in length. Lineage: Bacteria; Bacillati; Bacillota; Bacilli; Caryophanales; Bacillaceae. RNAcentral also lists the same sequence under 5 other names. The record is from RNAcentral.
GCGGGUGUAGUUUAAUGGUAAAACCUCAGCCUUCCAAGCUGAUGACGUGGGUUCGAUUCCCAUCACCCGCUCCA